CGCGGCCCUGAUCGAAGCCGUUCCGUUUCUCUGUAACGGCAGCGGGUCAAACAGGAGCCUAAAGAAACACUUUACCGACGGUCGCUGUACAGUUCCUUUUUUUUCUGUCCCAGCAACAUUUAAGGGUAAAGGACAACC
Small nucleolar RNA from Puntigrus tetrazona (Sumatra barb), 138 nucleotides. Lineage: Eukaryota; Metazoa; Chordata; Actinopteri; Cypriniformes; Cyprinidae. The record is from RefSeq and is a predicted model, not a curated record.